This is a long non-coding RNA of Suncus etruscus (white-toothed pygmy shrew), 906 nucleotides long. RefSeq lists it as uncharacterized. The record is from RefSeq and is a predicted model, not a curated record. The transcript has 3 exons. NCBI's taxonomy places the organism in Eukaryota, Metazoa, Chordata, Mammalia, Eulipotyphla, Soricidae.
UUGGGUGCAGCCCGCAGCAGCCGCUGGGCUGGCGAGGAGACCCACCCCAAGAUGCAGCCACAGGGUUGCCCAAGGGGGACCCUCCCUUUCUCUCCCCAAUCAAUCGACCUCGACUGGAUGGAGGCCCAGGGAGGCUCUCGAAGUUCAGUACACCCCCUCGACACCGUGGUCUUUGCAAGUUGAUUGUGUGGGACAUCAAUGAUGAAGCAGUCUAUGGGCGCCCUGGUCCCUACAGCAGCCAUUUUCCCUGCAUGUCUCUGAGUCAUAGAUUGGCAGUUCUUGUGAUAUUUUCUAUCAGAGUCUGUGGUCAGGCACCUCUGGCAGGACUCUGGCCAUUGUUGUGGGCUCCACAAUGACACUCACACACUGUGAACUUGACCCAAACUGUCCUGAUAGCACCCAUUGGUGGCCAUUACUAUCUGUCCCAUUCCCUGUUCCCUGACACACAGCCAGGGGGGGAAGCCAGGACAAUGAAUAACUCAACAUGGCUGCAAAGUGGAAGGAAGAGCCUCUCAUCUCUCACUUGAAGCCAAAAACUGACAUGAAGAUGCUGAGUGAGGAAGGCAAGUGGGAAGUCUGAAAAAUUAUGCCAAGUGGUCAACCAAGUUGUCAAUGCAAAAGGAAUGUUCUAGAAGGAGGCUGAAAGUGAUUGCUAGUGUUUCUUCGGGGGACACACACAGAUGAAGUGAAGCAACCUUAUUGCUAACAUGGAGAACGUUUCAGUUAAGUGGACGUAAGAUCGGAAUUGCCACAACAGUUUCUUAAGCCAAACCUCAGCUAGAACAAAGCUCUGCCUCUCUCCUAUUCGACUCAGGCCAAAGGAGGCUUCAGAAGGAAAGUUGGAGCAGUUAGAUGGUCACACCUGGUAGUGCUCAGGAGUUACUCCUGGCUCUACACUCAGAAAUC